This 425-nucleotide ribosomal RNA is filed under the name uncultured bacterium. RNAcentral describes it as "bacterial SSU rRNA". It matches the Rfam family "Bacterial small subunit ribosomal RNA", at positions 356 to 773 of the family's 1533-position model. The record is from RNAcentral.
GGGGAAUAUUGGACAAUGGGCGAAAGCCUGAUCCAGCCAUGCCGCGUGUGUGAAGAAGGUCUUCGGAUUGUAAAGCACUUUAAGUUGGGAGGAAGGGCAGUUACCUAAUACGUGAUUGUUUUGACGUUACCGACAGAAUAAGCACCGGCUAACUCUGUGCCAGCAGCCGCGGUAAUACAGAGGGUGCAAGCGUUAAUCGGAAUUACUGGGCGUAAAGCGCGCGUAGGUGGUUAGUUAAGUUGGAUGUGAAAUCCCCGGGCUCAACCUGGGAACUGCAUUCAAAACUGACUGACUAGAGUAUGGUAGAGGGUGGUGGAAUUUCCUGUGUAGCGGUGAAAUGCGUAGAUAUAGGAAGGAACACCAGUGGCGAAGGCGACCACCUGGACUGAUACUGACACUGAGGUGCGAAAGCGUGGGGAGCAAAC